CAUUCGAGUAACAACUCAUUUCUAAAGUGUUCUUCCGAAAACCUUUUAAUUAAAUCUUCCCGGUUAUUUAAUAGAAGUGUCCGCCCUUUUACUUCCGCUUCGUUCCCGUACAUAUUAUUUGGCGACGAGGAAAAAGGUUCAGUGCGCGUGUGCGAAAUAGUGCUGCUACCGGUAUGAAAUUAAGUGACGGACAAAUCAAACUAGAGUCGUACCGUCGGUGGCAGCAGGAAAAUUUUUAGCAACAACAGCAAAUGCGGGACAGCGGUCAGGACAUACGGAGACGUUCCGGAGAAGAAUAGAAGGUUGAAAAGAGCUUGAAAAAGCCCGAAAAGCUAGUGAAAACACGUUGUAGUGCUCGAAAACACCAUUUUGUGGUGUAUGAUAUUGGCGAGGAUAGUGGUUUCUUUGAUUGAAACAAUUAACAACAAUACACAGAAAAAAAAGUUGUGAAAAGGACUUUUUUCACAUGGUUUAAUAAUUAUCUUUUCUUUUAAUUGUGUUUAGCCAGCGAUAAUUAUGCUAAAUUAAAAAUACACUUAUUGUUUUAUUUAUUUUAACAGAGAGUUGGAACGACAAAAGAAAAGUUUUUUUUUUGAAUCUAAUGAAUUUGUGAUUAAUAAGUGGUUCUCUUUAUAUUCCAUACAGAUAGCGGCGAUUGCCGGCGGACAGGUUUUUUCCCCUUGAGAAUAAAAGUCCGCGGAAGAUACCGGAGCACAAUUUUUAGGUUUGAUAUUUAUUGGAUUGCGACUACAGUUGGAAGACGAAUGACUACUACAGCGCGCCGAAGCCAAAUCAAAGUCGUUGACGAUACGGGCAUUCGGAGGCGUUGGACGAAGGUGGUGUAUGUCGAUCACAAUGUCGAUAAUUCCGGUCCAUCACCACCACCACGCAAUAUAAUCGGCGAGGUGCUUUAUGAGAUGCCUUUCCAGAGAUCUCCGGAGUGUGACUUGCGAAGACGAAACGACGAGUUACCGCCGGGGAAGCCAAAUCGAAAACGAAAGAUGAAUACUAAUUUGGCGCUCGAUGGCCUGCCGUGGCGUUCGAAGAGAACGCGAAGAAAUAGAAGUAAAUUUCAAUUUUCUUUAUUCGAAUUGUUAAUAAUUUGUUAAUAGUAACUAUCGAUUUGUAAAUGAUAAUAAUACCAUCGAAUAACUUCCGAAGAGGGAAGGACUGAUAUGUAUCCUAAAUUGGAGUAAACCAAUUUGAGCGUGUAUGCGCUAUAAACUAUUUUUAUAGUUAUCGAUAUGCCAAAGAAGACAUAAAAUAAACAGACCGAUGACUGUCGGUCUCUUUCGUGAUUCAGAA
Long non-coding RNA from Armigeres subalbatus, 1305 nucleotides. RefSeq lists it as uncharacterized. NCBI's taxonomy places the organism in Eukaryota, Metazoa, Arthropoda, Insecta, Diptera, Culicidae. The record is from RefSeq and is a predicted model, not a curated record. The transcript is spliced from 2 exons.